CCUACGGGGGGCAGCAGUGGGGAAUAUUGGACAAUGGGCGGAAGCCUGAUCCAGCAACGCCGCGUGAGGGAUGACGGCCUUCGGGUUGUAAACCUCUUUCACCUCCGACGAAGCGAAAGUGACGGUAGGGGGAGAAGAAGCACCGGCCAACUACGUGCCAGCAGCCGCGGUAAUACGUAGGGUGCGAGCGUUGUCCGGAAUUAUUGGGCGUAAAGGGCUCGUAGGCGGUUUGUCGCGUCGGGAGUGAAAACACUGGGCUUAACUCGGUGCUGGCUUCCGAUACGGGCAGACUAGAGGUAUUCAGGGGAGAACGGAAUUCCUGGUGUAGCGGUGAAAUGCGCAGAUAUCAGGAGGAACACCGGUGGCGAAGGCGGUUCUCUGGGAAUUACCUGACGCUGAG
RNAcentral lists this ribosomal RNA (400 nucleotides) under uncultured bacterium. RNAcentral describes it as "bacterial SSU rRNA". It matches the Rfam family "Bacterial small subunit ribosomal RNA", at positions 338 to 750 of the family's 1533-position model. The record is from RNAcentral.